CGAUCAAAGGUGGGAGGAUGGCGCUUCGACAUUUAUCCACGGAAGAUUUAAUCACGGAGUUAUUUAAUUUUGGGAUAGAGGUCACUGAAGAGGAGAGAAGUAAAUUCAAAGAUAAUGAAGUUGACGGAGAAGCAGUGGACUAUGGAUUGACUGAGAGGAUUAUUUCAUGCCUCUUUGAAGGAUCGUUUAAGAAGACUGGACUGUCCUUGACCCUUUUGAGGUGAUGGAUUUUCAUGCUUUGGAUACAUACUGUGUCGAUGAUAAACUGUUUGUUAGUAUGCGGCAUUUAUGUUAAGCUGUGUUGGGAGGGUUGUAGAGCGUUGUGGAUGAGCUCAAAGCUUGUGUUUUUUAAUCCAGAACACAUCAAGUGUCAUGUAGUUUAUCCGUUAAGUGACUCUCUUUACUUUGGUGUGGUGUGCUAAAGUGUUUUGCUUGGUCUUUGAUAAUAAACAUGUUUUUCUGCACUAUAUUGCUGUUCUUAUUAGUGAUGUUCAUGAAAUUGAAAGAAGGAAAAUAUAAAUGGUUCCAUUGUAUUUAUUCCCUGCUAUGCAUCUAUUCUCUGAUAUCGCUGUUCAUUUUGUUUUUGGAGUGGCAGUAAGUUGUCAGUUGGUCAGUGAAAUGCUUCUUAAAAAAU
Long non-coding RNA from Cyprinus carpio carpio, 634 nucleotides. Lineage: Eukaryota; Metazoa; Chordata; Actinopteri; Cypriniformes; Cyprinidae. The record is from Ensembl.